GGUGGUUCUCAGGUGACAUGCCUCAGAACCGGGCUCCCUGCUCUCUGGUUCCAGGUUCAUCACCUGAAAACCACA
Molecule: non-coding RNA, 75 nt
Organism: Myotis brandtii (Brandt's bat)
Lineage: Eukaryota; Metazoa; Chordata; Mammalia; Chiroptera; Vespertilionidae
Source: Rfam